AGCAGCCGCGGUAAUUCCAGCUCCAAUAGCGUAUAUUAAAGUUGUUGCAGUUAAAAGCUCGUAGUUGAAUUUCGGGGUUAGCAGGUCGGUCGUGCCAUCGGUAUGAACUGGUCUCGCUGAUCCCUCCCUCUUGACGAACUGUGAUGCCAUUAAUUUGGUGUCGCAGGGAAUCAGGACUGUUACUUUGAAAAAUUAGAGUGUUUAAAGCAGGCUCACGCUUGAAUACAUUAGCAUGGAAUAAUGAAAUAGGACGUUUGAUCCUAUUUUGUUGGCUUCUAGGAUUGACGUAAUGAUUAAUAGGGAUAGUUGGGGGCAUUAGUAUUCAAUUGUCAGAGGUGAAAUUCUUGGAUUUAUUGAAGACUAACUACUGCGAAAGCAUUUGCCAAGGAUGUUUUCAUUAAUCAAGAACGAAAGUUAGGGAUCGAAGACGAUCAGAUACCGUCGUAGUCUUAACCAUAAACUAUGCCGACUAGGGAUCGGAUGAUGUUAAUUUUUUAAUGUACUCU
This 506-nucleotide unclassified non-coding RNA is filed under the name uncultured Glomus. RNAcentral describes it as "SSU rRNA". It matches the Rfam family "Eukaryotic small subunit ribosomal RNA", at positions 569 to 1082 of the family's 1831-position model. The record is from RNAcentral. Lineage: Eukaryota; Fungi; Glomeromycota; Glomeromycetes; Glomerales; Glomeraceae.